UUGUGGAUAAAGAUAUGUGACUCAUAAAGACACAGGCAUGAUAUUCUACACCCGGAGCCUCAGAACACUCAGCUAUGCUACCUCCUGACACACAGAAAGUUCUCAUGUAUUGCUUCUCAUUCAUAGCAGUUUUGAGAGUUACAUCUUUUAAAAAACAUCUUAUUUUUAUUUUAAAUGAAUGGCUGUAUUGCCUGCAUGUAUGUCUUUGCACAUGUAUGCCUAGUGCCCAUGGAAGUCCAAAACCAGGCAUUGAAUUCCCUGGAACUAGAAUUACAGAAGGUUGUGAGCCAUCAUGUGGGUGCUGGGAACUGAUCCCAAGUCCUCUGCAAGAACAAUCAGUGAUCUUAACUGCUGAGCUGUUUCUCCAGCCUCAAGAAUUACAUAUUUUAACAAUGGGAAAUAACUUUUAUUUUAUUCUUGAUUAUGGAUAUUGACCUUGAAUUGUACUAGCUCUGAUUUAAUAUUACCUCUUAAAGUCUGUUAAUAUUACUAGUUAAUAUCUUGUUGAUAUACUAGUAUGCAUUUUUUUUGUAACUGCCAAGUUCUGCCUGGCUUCAGAGAUUGACUUGCCCAGAGUGAUAAGGGAAUGAAAUGACAGACAUACAUACAAAAAAAAGGCUGGAAUUGGAUGGGCUGUGCUGCCUCAGACAGAGGGCACCAAGAAACUAGGAAACCUAGAAACACUGUACAUUUAUUUUAUACAUUUCAAUCAAGGAGGUUUGUGGUGUGCAGUCAAUCACAGAAGUCGUAGCUGGUCUGCCUGGGAGGCCUCUGUAGGAAGCAUCUCAGGUUGCAGUCAUCUGGGAAGAGGAGGCUGCAGCUGCUAGACUUUGUACACACUGGGCAAUCGUUGGCAAACACUUACACCUGAACCAAAGGAAGGCUUUGCCAAUUCCUGAGCCUGAUGCAGGGAAGGCUUUGCUGUACUCAUGGUCCUGAGGCACUGGGGUCCUUGACAUGGUCGUACUCAUGUCAACAACACACUAACUUAGGACUUCAUUUGCUUCUUACACAUAGCUAGUUAUAUAUUUUGAGAUAUGAGUAUUUUAGUAGUUAAUAGAUUUUGUUAUAAACACUAUGCUGAGUGUUUUGUCUUAAAAAUUGUAUUUAUAACAUGGCAUACUCAGUCUCUAUGUCUGACUUUGAUUGUGCUUCCUCCUUCCAGAAGCUUGCUAGUGCUCAGUUUUUGUCCACCCUUGCAGAGGUAAAUGAAAACCUUUUGUGCAGUAUAUGAACACGUUCAGUGUAGAUGGAUUUAUGUUGAGAUUUAUGUUGAACCACUUGGACUUAAGUUUUGUGCAUGGAGACGAUAUGGAUCUAUUUGCAGUGUUCCACAUCCUGACAUCCAGUUAUGCCAUCACCAUUUGUUGAAGAUGUGUGCUGCAUCAAAUGACCAAACGAAAGAGUUCUUCCGACACCCAAGGAAUACACAGUGGAGAUGGGGCAGCAAAGACUGGACAGAUAUCCCAGCGGGAAGCCGAGAAACACAGAGGUUUAUCAGCUGCCACUGCACAUCACAGAAGGGGCUUAAGCCCAAACUGACAUUUACUGGCUCAUAUAAAGGGAGCAUUUUGGGAGUGUUCCAGAGUUGAGAAGCAGCGAUGGUCUAGCCCACCUGUGCGACUGACCCAUAUGUGGAGAGGGUGCCUUUCUUCUUCAGUGCCCUGGAAGCCCUCCUGGAUUCCAGCUAGUUGCUGUGGGCUGCAGAUUCAGCCUAUGAAGAAGCUUGCAUCAGCUCAUCAUCUACGAAGGCAUCUCUGGACGGUCCUGGACCCCCGCACUUCUCUGCAUUCAUUAUUCCUUGUCAGUGGAUCUUUUGGUGGAAAUUACGAAGUUAGUAGACAGAGAGGAAGAAAGAACUAUAAAAGAAGAAAAGGUCCUGAAAUGGAGCAGCUCUUCUCCAGUGAGAAGAAGUAACACAAAUGUUCUCUUCUUAGCCGGCUUUCAGAACAGCAAGACCUUUAGCUUGUGGUUCACCUGAAAACAUUUGUGUGAGGUUUUCCCUUCUCCAAUCUGUUUUUAGAUCUGACAUUUUGAUCUUAGGUUUUUAGGACACUUUAGACUUUAUUAUGCUUUUUUGAAUAAGAAUUUACGGUUUGCCAUUCUUUAUAUAUGGUUCUACAUCCAACAAUUUAUCCGGACUUGGAUAGAAAAUAUUUGAAAAACCUGGCAUCUGUUCUGAACAUGUACAGACCCCCCAUUAUUCCCUAAAAACACAGUGUACAGCAAUCAGGAGUGCCUCACUCAUGCUAGCCUCAAAGGCUUUACCACUGAGCUAUGUGCCCAGACCCACCUGAAAGCACAUGGGGAAAUUUUUGUGGGCUUUACGGGAAUGGAACAUCAUUCGAGGAAGGUACUUGACAUCCACAGAUUAUAACAUCAAUGGGCUAUCCUGGGACUGGCACCCAAAGAUACUGACAUCCACAAGAUGUCCUGGUAUGCCCUGAAGAACCCUGACAUCUGUGGAGUGUCUGAUAUAGACUCCCAAGGAUACUGACAUCCAUGAAGUGUCCCAUAUGAAUCUACAAGUGACAUUUGUACCCACAAGGUGUCCUAGUACCAACUGCCAAGCAUACCAAGGGUCAGGGUAGUUCCUUCUCUUGUUGGUAUUAAGAAUCAAGGUCAUAAAUGGAAAGAGUAUAUUGAACAACUGUACUGUGACUCUCAGUCUCAUGGAUCAUCAAUGUUUUGAGUUGUUGGCUUUUUCUAGCAGCCCUGGACACUGGAAGAGUUCAUCAACUCUGUUCCAGGGAGGAGAAGGAGGUGUGGAGAGAUACAGAGUGCAGGCUGUAGAGAAUCUUGUGAUUAACUAUAGUGUUUAGAUGUCAGCUUGAUGCUAAUCUAAAAGAUUAGAUUCUGUAUCACUCUAAACAACCUACAAGAUGUACAGUAGUGAUGAUAUGAACAAUCAGAGUUGCCCUGACUGCAACAUGAUUAGCUGAUAAGCCUGUGCCUUCAGACAUCAUAACUUCUUGACUUUGCAGGGGACUUUUGGAAGAACUGUCUGUUACGUUAAAGUAUGUAGUAUUAAAAUCUAAAGAAUGAUGACAUUUCAAGAUGUACAAGCCAUGUAGUGGCUAAAAAGACACAGAAUUUAAAUUGGUUAUGGUCAUAGUUACUACUUUGUGUCAACUUUAUACCGACUUAAAUCUAUUGGGGAAGAGGGAGUCUCUGCUGAAGAAUUGCUCCCACCAGAUUGGCCCGAUGGCUUGUCUGGAGGGCACUUCUGGAUUGCUGAUUGAUACGGAAGGACCCAGCCCACUGUGGCUGGUCUUCCCUAGGUGGGCAGUUUUUAGCUGUAUAAUAAAGCAGCGGAGCAAGCCAGGGAGAUCAAACUAAUAAUCAGUGUUCCUCCAUGGUUUCUGUUUCGAGCUCCUGCCUUGAGUUCAUGCCAUGGCUGCCCUAGCUGGUGAACUGCAGCCUGCCAGCCAGAUGAACUCCUUUCUCCCCAAGUGGUGUUUGGUCAGACGAAAAGAGCUAUGAAUCAGAUACUCCCAGUCUUCAUGGGGGAACAAACAAGGACAAUAUGACAGGAGAGGGCAGACUGAAAUCCUGGUUCCUUUGUCUUGCUUGGUGGAGUAUUCAAAGUCAAAGAAUGCUAUGGAAUAGCCACUUGUAGUCCAGUUGAAUUCUGAUAGCACUGUACUAACACGCUGUACUGAGAAAUAACUUUUAAAGGAGCAGCCAGCAAGGUUAGUGGAAUCAUCGAGGCAGUAUAAAAGACUGAAAUAUUAGGCAAAACCUUCCAAAGCCAUUAUUUUGGACAGUCAAUUUGAAUGGCCAGGCCUCACAAAAAAAACGCAGAGAUUUCCGGCAAAGAACCCACUAUGGAAAUAGCAACAACAUUCAGCACACCCUGUUCACCAAGCUCGUGUGCUGCCAAACUACUAAGUGGCUGACAAAUACCCUCCUAAGCCUGUGCCAAUGCCCAGGCUGUUUCUGAAGAUUGGCUGGAAAAAAUGCAACACCAGGCACACUGCACAGACAUUGUGCGAACGUGUCGUAUUAAAUGCUUCAGUUUCUUGAUUUACCAGGAAGGGCACCAAAGAGAAGGUGAAGAGAGGAGCCCCCAUGUUUAUAGAUUUCUAGUUAGACAGUGGGAAGACACAGGACAUGUUCUUGGCGCACCGCUCUAGGCUUCCAGUGAGACGGUCCAGAGCUGCUCUGAGACUACCCAGGUGGACGGGUCCUCAGACCUGCAGUGGGCACAGGGGUAGUAGGGCGCACAAAUACAGAACGAUUUGCCUUAAUCAUUAAUGUUUACUCAAUGAAAACAGAGGAUGGAACACUAUGGUGACAUUCAAGAUGAAGACGGGCCAGCAGCUGCCCGGACUUUUAAUAUCAAGUUUAUAUUAGAUUACUCAGUGGUUUUAAACAACUUAUUACAGUCCCUCCCCAUUCUCCUCUUUCUCCUCCCUCUCCCCUUCUUCCCCAUCCCUGCCAUAUCUCCCCUCCUUCCCCUUCUUCCCCCGUUUUCUUUCUCUUCCUUCCCCUCCCCUUUCCUCUUAGCCCUCUCCUUUCCCAUCUCCUCCACGUUUCCUCCCCCUCUCUCACCCCUCCCCUUCCUUUCUCUUCUGUUCCCUUGUUUUCUGAGAAAAGGUCUCAAUUUGUAGCAGGCUGACCUCAGACUUCCCAUCCUCCUUCCUCAUCACCACCCCCAAAGUUGAGAUUACAGGAAACGACAAUUUCUAAUUUAUUUAUUUAUUGAUGGAUCCAGCUGAAAGCCAAUCUUUGUUAUGUCUAUUUAAAACAUCCCUUGGAAUCCAUGUAUUUCCUAUAAAGACCUGACACUCUGUGAAGCAGCUAAUGGAUCAUCAGUUCACAACAUUGCAAUUUUAGAGUGAGACACAGGCUGAGUGCCACCUCUAGAACUCUCCUGAUGGAAUUUUAGAUCAAGGGUGGAAUUAUUGCAAGAGUGUCAGUGCCCUAUCAGGUCAGGAGGCCUCGGUCAAGCAGUGGUGCAGGAGCAGCUUCCUGGAAGCAUAAGGUCCACUCAUUCCCUCAUUUCCUGCUUGUGACUGCGGGUCCUUCUGCCAUACAGCAGACCUGCAGGACCUUCUGCCCUGCUGCAGUCCCGUGGGUCCGUCUGCCAUGCUGCAGGCCCCGAGGGUCUGUCUGCCAUGCUGCAGUGCAGAUGAAGGCCUACCUCACAUACCAGUUCUGUGUUGAUGGACUUGUCAGCCUUCAGAAUCAUGAGUCUGAUGAAGUUCUCUUAUUUAUAAGUUAUUCAAUCUGCUGUAUUCUGAAAUAGUCACAGAAAACAUGAAGUUAAGGCAUGGAAUGAAAAAAUGGACAGGUAGUGUGAUGGCUAGUCUUGGUUGUCAACUUGGCUACACGUGGCUUCGACUAAAACCUGAGUAGUGGGCACAUCUCUGAGGGGUUUUCUUGAUUGGAUCAUUCUUGAGCUGGGAAGAUCCUCCCUAAAUUUGAACCACACCUUCUGCUGGUAGCCCAUACAAAAGGCCACAGAAGAAGGAAAUUUUGCUCUUUUGUCUGCUUGUACUCACUCCCGAUGGCAAGUUCAUCUAUCCCAUUCCUGAGGCAUUCCUUCCCUGGUGUUAGAACCUACUUCUUUGGAUUCUAGCAUACACUGAGUACCAGCAUCUCUCUAGGAGUUCCCUGGGAUUCCACUACCAAAUUGGGACUGCUGAGACUCCUAGCCUUGUGGACUCAACCAAUAUCAGACUCUUGGCCUUUUUGUUGGGCCCAGUCAGAGCAUAGCCUGUACCCCACUUUAAUAACCACACACACUCACACACUCACACACACACACACACACACACACACACACACACACACACACACACAAACACACACAAACACACACACGUAUAUUCAUUCUAUCUGUUCUGUUCCAUUACAGAACUCUAAUUUGGGCAGACAGUUAUUAAAGAUCUUGACUUCAGUUCCUUUGGAUGUAGACCCAGAAACAGGGUCUACAUUGUAUGCUAAAUUAUAUGGUAGAUCUGGUUUUAUUGUUUCAUUUUAGAAAUGUAACACACUGAUUUCCAUGGGGAGAUGUACUUACUUACAACAUUCAGGGAAAUGUAUAGCACUGUGUUUACUUUUUCCAAGGAAUGAGUUACAAUGAGUUACCACAUUCCCCCUCCCUUAGU
Long non-coding RNA from Peromyscus californicus insignis, 6116 nucleotides. RefSeq lists it as uncharacterized. The record is from RefSeq and is a predicted model, not a curated record. NCBI's taxonomy places the organism in Eukaryota, Metazoa, Chordata, Mammalia, Rodentia, Cricetidae. The transcript is spliced from 8 exons.